ACUGCCAAUCUACCUACCACUGCUAAUCUAUGCCGCUGCCAACCUAUCUAUCACUGCUAAUCUAUCACUGCUGCCAAUCUAUCUACCACUGUCAAUCUAUCUAUCACUGCCAAUCUAUCUACCACUGCUAAUCUAUCGCUGCUAAUCUAUCGCUGCUAAUCUAUUGCUGCUAAUCUAUCUAUCACUGCUAAUCUAUCGCUGCCAACCUACCUACCGCUGCCAACCUAUCUACCACUGCCAAUCUACCUACCGCUGCCAACCUAUCUACCACUGCUAAUCUAUCACUGCUAAUCUAUCGCUGCUAAUCUAUUGCUGCUAAUCUAUCUAUCACUGCUAAUCUAUCGCUGCCAAUCUACCUACCGCUGCCAACCUAUCUACCGCUGCCAACCUACCUACCACUGCUAAUCUAUCACUGCUAAUCUAUCACUGCCAAUCUAUAUAGGGUAAAUCAUGGUCCCAUUUGAUCCCAUUUUGUAAAAUGGGAUCAAAUGGAAUUGGAAUCACUAAUUUAUUAGUAAAACAUGAUCUGGGACUAGAUUUAUAAUAUAAACAGUGUAAAGUGACUAAUUUACUAAACACUAUAUAGAAUCAGAACUAAGAUAUCUAAUAAUAGAACUGAGGAAAAAUUUGAUCUCAGUCCCAUGCAUGGUCACACAGCCA
Molecule: small RNA, 660 nt
Filed under: Histoplasma capsulatum
Lineage: Eukaryota; Fungi; Ascomycota; Eurotiomycetes; Onygenales; Ajellomycetaceae
Also listed under: 1 other name
Description: hypothetical RNA
Source: RNAcentral